Molecule: long non-coding RNA, 495 nt
Organism: Schistocerca gregaria
Lineage: Eukaryota; Metazoa; Arthropoda; Insecta; Orthoptera; Acrididae
Exons: 3
Source: RefSeq, a predicted model, not a curated record
CGUGGCAGAGCCACCUAUUGAGGUGAUCCUGUAUUAGACUUCAUGACUAGCACACGACGCUGUGGUGCAUUAUGCUUAGUACCUGAGCCCAAUCUUAUUCUGUUACUCUCUCCUGUGAACGGGAAUGCGUUAUGCAGAUAUAGGUGUCACUAGCGUCCAUCUGCAGAAGUUUUUACUGGGUUUAACGACGGCGAUGUUGGCCUGAUAUAUUCGACGAUGCCCUUUGGCUACACUGACUAAAGGAUUCUUCUAAGGAAUACCAAAUUAAGUGUAACGUAGCACGACAUUGCCAGAUAACAUUCAGUACAGUAUAACAACCAGACGUGUAUCACGGGGGCUGCAGGAAGAAGCCUCAGCCGUCAGUCACGCUCAGCUGACGCUUGCGUCUGUGGGAACGAAGGGAAGUAACGCCUAGUAGGAACGCAAAUUCAUGCGCUCUACGAAUCUAAAUAAGCUUCAGUAAUUAUUAAUCGAUUAUGUUCAAACUUAGUACCC